GCGGCGUUCUCCUAGUGGUCUAUGGAGUCGCACUUAAGCGAUUACGUAAUCACUUAAAUAUGCGAUGGACUCAAGUCCGCGUGAGUUCGAACCUCACACGCCGCA
Non-coding RNA from Naematelia encephala, 105 nucleotides. Lineage: Eukaryota; Fungi; Basidiomycota; Tremellomycetes; Tremellales; Naemateliaceae. The record is from the annotation of a GenBank genome assembly.